Molecule: ribosomal RNA, 486 nt
Filed under: uncultured Alkalibacterium sp.
Lineage: Bacteria; Bacillati; Bacillota; Bacilli; Lactobacillales; Carnobacteriaceae
Description: partial 16S ribosomal RNA
Source: RNAcentral
CACGUAGUUAGCCGUGACUUUCUGGUCGGAUACCGUCAGGGGGAUGCCAGUUACUACAUCCCUUGUUCUUCUCCGAUAACAGAACUUUACGAUCCGAAGACCUUCUUCAUUCACGCGGCAUUGCUCCAUCAGGCUUUCGCCCAUUGUGGAAGAUUCCCUACUGCUGCCUCCCGUAGGAGUCUGGGCCGUGUCUCAGUCCCAGUGUGGCCGAUCACCCUCUCAGGUCGGCUACGUAUCACUGCCUUGGUGAGCCAUUACCUCACCAACUAGCUAAUACGCCGCGGGGCCAUCCAUGAGCGAUAGCAAAAGCCAUCUUUAAUGUCUGAAACAUGCGUUUCUGACACCUAUGCGGUAUUAGCACCCGUUUCCGGAUGUUAUCCCCCUCUCAUGGGUAGGUUCCCCAGUGUUACUCACCCGUUCGCCACUCAUCCACACUCUGCAAGCAGAGUGCUUCAGCGUUCGACUUGCAUGUAUUAGGCAUGCCCG